GUAGAUCUUGAAUCCGUAGAGUUGCAGGCAAAGCCCAAAAUUCAGGCUUAGACUCUCAGACCGCUCAGAGAAACCACAGGCUCACAGGCAGAUCCCUUGAGGCCACAGUAGCUGGCCAGAAAACACCGCCAUCAGCUAAACUGUAUUCAUCUGGAGUUCCGCGGAGCGGAAGGACUUGCAGCCUUCCCUUUCCCCAGCCAGGGCUAGGGAGUUAGACAAUGGAAGUCCAGCACUAGGCAAAGCAGGCAUUAUGCGCGGGGGGAAGAGCUUUGAGCUCACUGUAGUCUCAGAGAGGGAAGUGAUGGAAAAAGAAUAUAGCAGCUUAUUAGGGACUCCCACCCUCUUCAAGUUAUAAAUAUCCCCAGAACCUUGGCUACUUGCCCGGAGGCCUGUUGUCUCCUAACUGUACAGGAGAUUUCUCUGCCUAGGCUGGGAAAGGGGCUUUUCUUUUGUUUUACAGACCCAUCCACCCACUGAAGGGCUUGGAUUAAAAAAAGAAAACAAAACCAUGAUUCUGGGCAAUGCUUUUAUUAGACUGCCUGGGCAAGAUGGCUCUCCAAGCCCAGCUUGGCUGCUUGCCUCUUUCUAUGAUGAAGGCCUACCAUGGGCAGAGGCAGCAGUAAGCGUAUCACUGGGGAAUGGGGCCAGAGAGCCAUUUGGCCAGGAUCUCCAAUUU
RNAcentral lists this long non-coding RNA (676 nucleotides) under Heterocephalus glaber (naked mole-rat). RNAcentral's name for it is "lncRNA (ENSHGLG00000034166.1)". The record is from RNAcentral. Lineage: Eukaryota; Metazoa; Chordata; Mammalia; Rodentia; Bathyergidae.